RNAcentral lists this ribosomal RNA (373 nucleotides) under uncultured organism. RNAcentral describes it as "partial 16S ribosomal RNA". It matches the Rfam family "Bacterial small subunit ribosomal RNA", at positions 527 to 896 of the family's 1533-position model. The record is from RNAcentral.
GUAGGUGGCAAGCGUUGUCCGGAAUUAUUGGGCGUAAAGCGCGCGCAGGCGGUUCUUUAAGUCUGAUGUGAAAGCCCACGGCUCAACCGUGGAGGGUCAUUGGAAACUGGAGAACUUGAGUACAGAAGAGGAAAGCGGAAUUCCACGUGUAGCGGUGAAAUGCGUAGAGAUGUGGAGGAACACCAGUGGCGUAGGCGGCUUUCUGGUCUGUAACUGACGCUGAGGCGCGAAAGCGUGGGGAGCAAACAGGAUUAGAUACCCUGGUAGUCCACGCCGUAAACGAUGAGUGCUAAGUGUUAGGGGGGUUUCCGCCCCCCUUAGUGCUGCAGCUAACGCAUUAAGCACUCCGCCUGGGAGUACGGCCGCAAGGCUG